UACGUAGGGGGCUAGCGUUGUCCGGAAUCAUUGGGCGUAAAGAGCGUGUAGGCGGUUCGAUAAGUCCGCUGUGAAAGUCCAGGGCUCAACCCUGGAAUGCCGGUGGAUACUGUCGGGCUAGAGUCCGGAAGAGGCGAGUGGAAUUCCUGGUGUAGCGGUGAAAUGCGCAGAUAUCAGGAGGAACACCAAUGGCGAAGGCAGCUCGCUGGGACGGUACUGACGCUGAGACGCGAAAGCGUGGGGAGCGAACGGG
This 253-nucleotide ribosomal RNA is filed under the name uncultured bacterium. Its description in RNAcentral is "partial 16S ribosomal RNA". It matches the Rfam family "Bacterial small subunit ribosomal RNA", at positions 524 to 776 of the family's 1533-position model. The record is from RNAcentral.